Molecule: ribosomal RNA, 137 nt
Filed under: uncultured bacterium
Lineage: Bacteria
Description: partial 16S ribosomal RNA
Rfam family: Bacterial small subunit ribosomal RNA
Source: RNAcentral
UGGGGAAUAUUGCACAAUGGGGGAAACCCUGAUGCAGCGACGCCGCGUGAAGGAAGAAGUAUCUCGGUAUGUAAACUUCUAUCAGCAGGGAAGAUAGUGACGGUACCUGACUAAGAAGCCCCGGCUAACCACGUGCC